CUCAGCAUGGCAUGGAGCUGGAUCAUCCUCUUCCUCCUGUCAGUAACUACAGGUGUCCAUGCCCAGGUCCAGCUGCAGCAGUCUGGUCCUGAGUUGGUGAGGCCUGGGUCCUCAGUGAAGUUGUCCUGCAAGGCUUCUGGCUUCAACAUUAUUAACAUGUAUAUAAACUGGGUGAAGCAGAGGCCUGGACAGGGCCUGGAGUGGAUUGGAUCGAUUCUUCCUAUACUUGGUAGUACUGACUACAAUCAAAAGUUCAAGGGCAAGGCCAAACUGACUGCAGACAAAUCCUCCAACACAGCCUACAUGGAGCUCAGCAGCCUGACCUCUGAGGACUCUGCGGUCUAUUACUGUGCAAGAGACACAGUGUUGCAACCACAUCCUGAGUGUGUUAGAAACCGUGGAGGAGCAGGAAGCUGCCCUGCGACUAAGAUGACAGAGAUGGUUAUUCUGGAAACUUGCUCAAAAAUAAUCAUUCUGGUCUGUCAUUUCACAGUCUCACAGGUCUUUGCCAACUUUUCAAAGGGGCUGCUGGGCAUAAGGUGA
This is a non-coding RNA of Peromyscus eremicus (cactus mouse), 543 nucleotides long. The record is from the annotation of a RefSeq genome assembly. Lineage: Eukaryota; Metazoa; Chordata; Mammalia; Rodentia; Cricetidae.